AGAAAAGCAUAAGAAAAAACAAGAUAUAGUGGAGCAAUUAUUCAAGAUGCAAAUAAAAGAUAUGGACAAGGUCAAUAUGGAAGAGGUCGUGGUCGUGGACGAGGUCGAGGCUAUGGAUGUGGACGAGGAGGUUUCAACAACAAUUAAGAAAGAAGAGAAUACCCAAGUCGUGGGAGAGGCAACCAAGGUGCAAGGUACGAUAAAUCUC
RNAcentral lists this long non-coding RNA (208 nucleotides) under Nicotiana benthamiana. Its description in RNAcentral is "long non-coding RNA (NBEN_LNC000259)". The record is from RNAcentral. Lineage: Eukaryota; Viridiplantae; Streptophyta; Magnoliopsida; Solanales; Solanaceae.